Molecule: long non-coding RNA, 571 nt
Organism: Diospyros lotus (date-plum)
Lineage: Eukaryota; Viridiplantae; Streptophyta; Magnoliopsida; Ericales; Ebenaceae
Exons: 2
Source: RefSeq, a predicted model, not a curated record
CUCUCUCUCUCUCUCUCUCUGUGAAUAUGGAUUGUUGAGAUUAAUUAGGUUAUUCUCCCUGCAAAGAGGGAGAGGGCAGUGGUGAUAUAUGGUGUUGACAGAAGAUAGAGAGCACAGAUGAUGAAAUGCAAAUGGAGUCUCUCUGCAUCUCACUCCUUUGUGCUCUCUAUGCUUCUGUCAUCACCCCUUCUUCUUCUUCAGCCCUUCUCUUCUCCCUCCACCUUUCUACUAUUAAUUCCAUGAUUUCUCUGCUAUUGAAGGAAGAAGAGAAAAGGAAGGAAAAGCAUAGAAAAUCAUCAGAGAGUUUUUAGAAUAAGAGAAAGAGAAGGAAAAGCAAGGAAUCACCAGAAAGUGAAGUUACCAAGUGUUGUGAACAUAUUGCAGUGAUUUCAUGGGUGCUACCUAGCUAGCUGGUCUAAUCCCCAAAACCCUGGAGGUAUAUUAAAAGGGUUGUACCUUUCUGGCUAAAAUAGCAAUGUACUUGCCCUAAAGUGGCUGUAACACUCAUAUGAACAUUGAUCCCCAUUUCAAAGAAUACAUGUACUAUAUAUGUUAUUUCAUGAUUCCAUUU